AAGUAAAAAGUCGUAACAAGGUUUCCGUAGGUGACCUGCGGAAGGAUCAUUAAAGAGUUAGGGUCUUCUAGGCCCGAUCUCCCAACCCUUUGUUUAUUGAACCUCUGUUGCUUCGGCGGACCCGUCUCACGGCCGCCGGAGGACCGCCGAAAGGCGUCCUCUGGCCAGCGUCCGCCGAUAGCCAACCACUUAAACUCUGAAUAAAUCGUGUCAUAUGUCUAAGUCUAUGAUUAAAUUAAAGCAAAACUUUCAACAACGGAUCUCUUGGUUCUGGCAUCGAUGAAGAACGCAGCGAAAUGCGAUAAGUAAUGCGAAUUGCAGAAUUCCAGUGAGUCAUCGAAUCUUUGAACGCACAUUGCGCCCUUUGGUAUUCCGAAGGGCAUGCCUGUUCGAGCGUCAUUAUCACCCCUCAAGCCCCGUGCUUGGUGUUGGACGGCUUGGUCGCGUCACCGCGACUCCUCCUAAAGACAAUGACGGCGGCCUGUGGUUCCCCCGGUACACUGAGCUUUUAAUUGAGCACGUAUUGGAUAAGGGCACCCGGGACCCGGUCUUCUCCCUUUACCGGGAAAUUUUCAAUGGUUGACCUCGGAUCAGGUAGGAAUACGCG
This 607-nucleotide ribosomal RNA is filed under the name uncultured fungus. RNAcentral's name for it is "eukaryotic LSU rRNA". The stretch from base 245 to 399 matches the Rfam family "5.8S ribosomal RNA". Lineage: Eukaryota; Fungi. The record is from RNAcentral.